CUUUGAUCAUGGCUCAGGAUGAACGCUAGCUACAGGCUUAACACAUGCAAGUCGAGGGGCAGCGGGAUUGAAGCUUGCUUCAAUUGCCGGCGACCGGCGCACGGGUGAGUAACGCGUAUCCAACCUUCCGUACACUCAGGGAUAGCCUUUCGAAAGAAAGAUUAAUACCUGAUGGUAUGAUGAGAUUGCAUGAUAGCAUCAUUAGAGAUUUAUCGGUGUACGAUGGGGAUGCGUUCCAUUAGGUAGUAGGCGGGGUAACGGCCCACCUAGCCAACGAUGGAUAGGGGUUCUGAGAGGAAGGUCCCCCACAUUGGAACUGAGACACGGUCCAAACUCCUACGGGAGGCAGCAGUGAGGAAUAUUGGUCAAUGGACGAGAGUCUGAACCAGCCAAGUAGCGUGAAGGAUGAAGGUCCUACGGAUUGUAAACUUCUUUUAUAAGGGAAUAAACCCUCCCACGUGUGGGAGCUUGUAUGUACCUUAUGAAUAAGCAUCGGCUAACUCCGUGCCAGCAGCCGCGGUAAUACGGAGGAUGCGAGCGUUAUCCGGAUUUAUUGGGUUUAAAGGGAGCGCAGACGGGUCGUUAAGUCAGCUGUGAAAGUUUGGGGCUCAACCUUAAAAUUGCAGUUGAUACUGGCGUCCUUGAGUGCGGUUGAGGUGUGCGGAAUUCGUGGUGUAGCGGUGAAAUGCUUAGAUAUCACGAAGAACUCCGAUUGCGAAGGCAGCACACUAAUCCGUAACUGACGUUCAUGCUCGAAAGUGUGGGUAUCAAACAGGAUUAGAUACCCUGGUAGUCCACACGGUAAACGAUGGAUACUCGCUGUUGGCGAUAUACUGUCAGCGGCUUAGCGAAAGCGUUAAGUAUCCCACCUGGGGAGUACGCCGGCAACG
Molecule: ribosomal RNA, 890 nt
Filed under: uncultured Bacteroidota bacterium
Lineage: Bacteria; Pseudomonadati; Bacteroidota
Description: bacterial SSU rRNA
Rfam family: Bacterial small subunit ribosomal RNA
Source: RNAcentral